UACGUAGGGUGCGAGCGUUAAUCGGAAUUACUGGGCGUAAAGCGUGCGUAGACGGUUAUGUAAGUCGGAUGUGAAAGCCCCGGGCUCAACCUGGGAAUUGCAUUCGAGACUGCAUAGCUAGGAUGCGGAAGAGGGAAGUGGAAUUUCCGGUGUAGCGGUGAAAUGCGUAGAUAUCGGAAGGAACACCAGUGGCGAAGGCGGCUACCUGGCCUAAUACUGACACUGAGUCACGAAAGCGUGGGGAGCAAACAGG
Molecule: ribosomal RNA, 253 nt
Filed under: uncultured bacterium
Lineage: Bacteria
Description: partial 16S ribosomal RNA
Rfam family: Bacterial small subunit ribosomal RNA
Source: RNAcentral